GAUGAAGAACGUAGCGAAAUGCGAUAAGUAAUGUGAAUUGCAGAAUUCAGUGAAUCAUCGAAUCUUUGAACGCACAUUGCGCCCGUCAGUAUUCUGGCGGGCAUGCCUGUUCGAGCGUCAUUACGCCCCUCAAGUCCCCUGUGGACUUGGUGUUGGGGAUCGGCGAGGCUGGUUUUCCAGCACAGCCGUCCCUUAAAUUAAUUGGCGGUCUCGCCGUGGCCCUCCUCUGCGCAGUAGUAAAAACACUCGCAACAGGAGCCCGGCGCGGUCCACUGCCGUAAAACCCCCCAACUUUUUAUAGUUGACCUCGAAUCAGGUAGGACUACCCGCUGAACUUAAGCAUAUCAAUAAGCGGAGGA
Molecule: unclassified non-coding RNA, 359 nt
Filed under: soil metagenome
Description: partial contains 5.8S ribosomal RNA, internal transcribed spacer 2, and large subunit ribosomal RNA
Rfam family: 5.8S ribosomal RNA (bases 1-120)
Source: RNAcentral